AUCCCAGGCCAGGAAGGGAGGUGGAGGGACCCCUGGGGCAUGCUGGGGGAUCCAGUUCUAGCCACAAAACACUUUAAAAUCCACAAUACCCAUGAUUUCAUAACUGAGUAAUUUCCAGUGAGGAAACUUGAGCCUUAGUUACCAGAGAAGACUGAGAAGUUGUGACUUGUCUAAUGUCUUACAGCUAGUAUGUGUCAGAGAAAUCAUUAUUCUGAGAUGGAGGUCCAUUGGCUUCAUCAGAUUUCCAAAAGGGCCCACGAUACAAAAAAGCUUUAGGAUUCUUCAAAAAUUAUUCUUCACUACCUGUCUGUCUGCUGAGGUUCUUCUCUGUUGCUGGAGUAGAGGGUUAUUCCAGGUUUUCAGAGUAUUCUUCUCUGGUACUUAAGGUAGGCUCAGCUGCCUUUGUUUUGUAACUCUGAGUAUAAUUCUAG
RNAcentral lists this long non-coding RNA (431 nucleotides) under Monodelphis domestica (gray short-tailed opossum). RNAcentral describes it as "lncRNA (ENSMODG00000044541.1)". The record is from RNAcentral. Lineage: Eukaryota; Metazoa; Chordata; Mammalia; Didelphimorphia; Didelphidae.